This 31118-nucleotide long non-coding RNA is filed under the name Sorghum bicolor (sorghum). RNAcentral describes it as "long non-coding RNA (SBIC_LNC005709)". Lineage: Eukaryota; Viridiplantae; Streptophyta; Magnoliopsida; Poales; Poaceae. The record is from RNAcentral.
UUUUUGUUGCGUUUGGCCCAGAACAGUAGUACCUGACCCACGACGCUCAUAGAAAAAUUGAAGGGAAUAGGACCCACGAAAUCUGUCGUUGCAAGCGCAAGCCUUGGGUGGGCAUAAUGCGAAUUCUUAGCUGGAGCUAAAAUUAGCCAGCUCAAAAAUAUAAGGAAAAUACCGGGUAAAAUUAAUCUAGAGCAACUCCAAGAGUUAAUUUAUAUCCUUUCUUUUUUUUAUAGGAAUAGAGAUCUUGAUGAAAAGAUAUCCUUCAAUAACUUUUUAUUAAGUUUCCAAAUAUUAUCAUUCUCUAUUCCGAAUUUCUCGCUAGUCAGUCGAAAAUAGAGAGAGGAGUUGGUACCUAGAGUGUGAACAAGAUAUAAAAAAAUUUGUUCGAGGAUGAAAAUAUGUAAAUGUAUGAGUAUAUUGUCAUCCUCUAAUAUGAAUUCUUCAAUAUCUUGUCUGCACUCUAGAGAGCCAACUCCGGUCUCUAUCUUUGGUUGCGAGAAAUCUAGAAUAUAGUAUAUUAACUAGCAAAUUUGCCAGUGUGUGGCAAAAGGGAAAAAAUCUAGCAAAUGCUAAUGGAAAAUAACGACAGAUAAAAAAUAAAUCUAUAAUUCAUUUUAUGAUGACCGACAUCUAUAAUAUAAAGUUAAUGUUGGCGAUAAUAUAAUAAUGUUCUAUUAAGCCAUGUCAAAUUAAAAUACAAAACCUUCACAACUUUUUUACCCAUUGCAAAACACAAAAAUAUUUAAACAUAAAUAUGUAAUAACUUUAUUUUUGAUGGUAUCCAGUGUUGUGUUGCUAUAGUUAAAUACUGAGCUUCUUGGUUUUCUUAGAGAACCCAUAAAUAUGUAAUAAUUAUAAUUCCAAUCUCUGAUCAAAAUUGACAAGAAGUUAGUUGUUGAUGUGUCAUCGGUGAUUAUGAUGAGAGAUGUCUCUUGAUUUUUUAUAUAACACCCCUCAUCGAGGAUUGUAGAGAUAAAUCUAUUUAGACCGGAUUAGUAAACAAAAUGCUUAAGAUUUCAAUUCAUGAUGUGAUUACAUUGGCUGAUUUUAAUAAGGAUAAGUUUUUUUUUAUAUUCAAAACUAUAUCAAUAAAUUGAAAAUUUUAAAACCACUGGCCCAAAAGGAAAGAGCUAAAACAUAUGCUAAAAAGGAAGAAAGAUUAAAACCAAGUGGGACAUAUAUUUGGGAUAUGUUAAACAAAAAUAUUAUAGGCUACAGAAAGGACAAGCCCCGUAAAAAGGAAGAAUCCGAAAAAAGGAAAAAAAAAUGAGUCCAACAAAAUGGAACAAUCGGAAAAAAUGAAACAAGAAAAGAUAAGAAGUUUGUAUUGCGGUGGACACAGAAGAAGAGAUUUUUUAAUUUUAACCCUUUUUUAAAAUAAAUUUCAAAUUUGACAUUUUUUUUUCAAAAACUAAUUCUUUUGGCCACUCUUGAAGCCAUGGCGGUGCCAUGCAUGCUGAUGUGAUGGACCUGCCGCGCCAGAGAUCUUGAAGUAGUGUGUUUUCCAUGACCCCCUAAUAAUAAGGAAAAAGAAAAACCCUAACGGCCGUACAGCUGUCGUGAGUUGCGACAGCACCCGGAUCUGUAGUAUCGGUGUGUUUUCCAUGACCCCCCUAAGGCCUUGUUUAGUUUCCAAAAAUUUUGCAAAAUAUAAAUAGUACCACUUUCGUUUGUAUUUGACAAAUAUUAUUCAAUCAUGUACUAACUAGACUUGAAAGAUUUGUCUCGUCAAUUCCGACCAAACUGUGUAAUUAGUUUUUAUUUUCGUCUAUAUUUAAUACUUUAUGCAUGUGUCUAAAGAUUUGAUGUGACGAAAAUUUGAAAAAUUUUGUAAAUUUUUUUGAAACUAAACAAGCCGAGUUGCGACAGCACCCGGAUCUCCGCUCUUCCCUCCUGCGUUUACUUCUUUCCUUCUUUUCUUGGUUCACAAGCCAAAAUGAUCGGCGUCCGGCGCCUCGGCUCCCUGCUCUCUGGUGACCAUCACAGCCGUCCACGUUCACGGGCCCACAAUCCCGAUGCUGUACGUACCCGGGGUUCGGGCGUGCAUGUACGAACGUGGCAAAUGGGAGUCUCCGUGUAUCCCUGAUUCCCUAAUUCGCCCCUUCAUCAUAGUCUAAAUUAGCAAACUCAUCCCCUAAAUGAGAGUCUCCGUGUUCUGGAGUACUUUAUUUGUAGGUGCUGCGAAGGUUACGUUAUUUGGCGUUCAAUUGAGGGUUGGAAUGAAAAGUAGGCAUAGGCACGACGACGCAGGGAAAGGCUUUCGUGCGUGCUGUACUCCGCUAGUACUCCUAUAUUAGGCUCGCCCGGAAGGCGAGGAGGGCGCCCUCGUCCCCCCGUCCGCCGCCGAGUGUUUUGGGAAGCGAGCAAACCGCUCCUCCCCAUCCUUGUUCACAUCCCACGUCGACGCGAUCGAGGGAGUCCGGGCUGUUGCCAGCGAGCGAUGGCGAGCAACGGCUUGUCGCUGGUGCGCCGAGCCGCCGAGGCGGUGCGCCGCACGCCGCGAUGGAAGAAGGGGCUCGUCUUCUUCGCCGUCGGGUGCGCCCAGCGGCCUCACCUCUCCUAUGCAUUCCCUUGUUUUGUUUUGUUUUGUUUUGUUUUUUGACCAUGUGAUUUUUUCCACCCCCGUUGCUAGUUGAUUGAUUGAUACGUCAACCGCGCCGCCGUCGUGCUGCGUUGGGCCGUGUGCUUUGGUGCAUUCUGCCACCAUGGCUUCCUGAAUUCCUGUAGUUUCAUUAACUUUUUUUUUUGAACUCAAUGGCAGGAGUUCUGCCUUUCAGCUAAGUAGAGGAGCAAAAAACUUUAGUUUCAUUAGUUUUCGCUGAGCUUUUCCCUUUAGUUCCGGGCUCGGAGCAACGGCGUUUAGGAGAGUUUUUUUUUAAAAAAAAGGUUAUUCGGCCGGUCGAUUGAAUUUUAAAUUUCUUGGGUAUAUUUUUUUCUUUUGCGAAUAUAAUUUCUUCGAAUGAUGACCUGUAACACAACAGUUUUGUUACGCCAUCGUAGAUCCCUCUCCGCUAUUUCGUUUCCUUAACAUUCAUUCCUUAAAACAACGCUGGGUGCAGUCCGUAUCAAAACAUUGUGAAAUGUGCUAGAAUGCAUGAUAGAUUAGUAAAUGGAUCUAAUCAUUCUCCUGCUGAUAUAUUCUGUUGUUUAUGGGGUCGGAAACAAGGAUUUUGUGAUCUUAAAUUACCAAUCUUGCAAUUUACUCUGGUAGAUGAGCAAUAUAUGAAAAAAUGUGAAUCAGAUCAUGCUUCCUUAUUAGCCUGUUUCGUGUUUGAAUUUGCCUGGUAAGAGCAUCUCCAACCAUUAUGCAUUUGAAGUUAUGCAUUUUAAGCAAAUUGCAAACCCCUAAAUGAGAAUGGCAAGGCUAAAAUCGGGUGAUCUCCAACCGUUAUGCAAAAUGCCAAGUCGAUCCCGCGCCAAACUUCCCGCGGCACUGCAUCCCGCGCGGCACUCCUUCCACGCGCGGCCAAACAGCCCGCCGCCGGUCUCCACGUUCAGCUCGCCGCCGUCGCCCUAAACCCUAAACGACCUAGGAGCCGCGGCCAUGCUCCGAUCCACGCUCAGCUACUCUAUAUAUGAUGAAUAUGCAUGAUUACCUGGCCGGCGUUGAUGAGAAAGGCUUCGUCGCGAGCGAAGCUGUCGAAGAGGACGCGCGAAGCUUCUGUAUCGCGCGAAGUUUGUGGCGGCGCGAAGCCAAACCGCGCGAAGGGAGGGGUUUUGCAUAGCCGGACUCCUUUGGCAUAUAUGCCAAGUUUCCCCCUCCAAAUGCAUAGCUAUGUAAAAUGCAAAGUCCAAAUGCAUAACGAUUGGAGGGGUUUUUUUUGGAGUUUUAUGCAUUUUGGUAAAUGCCAAGUCCAUUUGCAUAAUGGUUGGAGUUGCUCUAACUGAUGUAUGCCAAUUUUUAGAGUGGGUUCUCCAGGUAUUUAACUUGAUUUAUAUUGUUCAUGUAUUGUAACACUCUGUGUGCUUACUAUUAUUGGUCAUUGAGAUUGAGUGAGAUGAUAGAAGGUGAAAAUUUUCAUUUAUCUUCCUAUACCUGGAGAUGUGAUUCUAAUUAUGAGCAGUAGUAUAGCUUUGGUUCAUUCUACUGCCUUGUGAAUAUGAUGCUUCCAGAAUUCCUAAUAGUUUCACCUUUUCGUAACAUGUUUUUUUCAUAAACUUCAGCUUUAGGCUUGGAGCAUUGUUAAGCAUAUAUUUGUUUUUCAUUUGGCCAAUCACAUGGAUUUUUAAAUUGCUUCGGUUGAUAUUAAACUUUGUAAAUAUGUCACAUUGUUACAUAAUUGUAAAUCUCUCUCCACUGAUCCAUUGUUCUGCGCUUGGUUUGUUAAAACCACACAAUAUUUGCUUAUUGAAGUCAGUGUGAAAACCAUGUUAAAAUAUGUGCCAGGUUUUGUAUUCGUGAGUGUUAGGUCUCAUACAAUAAUUUUGUGAUUUCGAAUUUAUGAUCCAGCAAAUUACUUGAAUAUUUCUGGAACAUGAUGCAUGCAAUUCAAAUCAGACCGUCCUUGUUUCACACUUUAUUCUUGUUGUUUUGUUGAUGAAUUAACCUGGUACUUUUCGAAUCUGGGAUUUAUUGAGCCGGCAGUAGGUGCUCUAGAUGUUUAAAAUUGUUACAAUGUCUCAUGAGAAUGAAUUAUGUACUGCAAUGUCAAUGCUAUGCGUGAAUAUGCUUUUUAUUAUUUGUCAUAUAGUUAAUGAGAUAGCAGAAAAAUUUUUUAGUUCCUCUACCUGGAAUGUGUUUCUAAUUCCUCAGCAUUACAUGUAGUUGUUCACCAUGCUGUUUGAUGGUCACUAAAAAGUAGCAAACGGUUUUUUUUUUUUUGGAAUUGUUUCUUGGGUUGCAUAAGAAAAACAAUCUUUAGCCCUUGUACUAAAACACUUCUAUUAUGAAUCUCAGAUGUGUGGAUAUAUCAGGAAAUAGUGUCAAGGAAACUUCAGUUUUAAAUGUUAUGACAAUCCAACAGGCACACUUGACUUUUUUACUUAGUGCAGUGUCAUUUCACUUUAUUUCAGGAGUGACACUUUUAACUUUUUUUUUUGUAGAGCUAGCACCUUAACUUUUGCUUGUCAAGAUAAUCGGGUUCUUCAAAUUUGUGAUGGGACUGGAAACAAGAAGAAGGUGGUUAUCCUUGGAACUGGUUGGGCAGGUGCAAGUUUCUUGAGAAAUAUCGACACAUCUUUGUAUGAGGUCCAUGUGGUAUCACCUCGCAAUUACUUCACCUUCACUCCUUUGUUGCCAAAUGUGACAUGUGGCACAGUAGAAGCACGUAGUAUCGUGGAGCCAAUUCGCAAUAUCGUGAGAAAGGUAUGUCCAUAUAGUUCUAAAACGGAAUAUGCUCCAAAUUUGUAGUACUUGAUAUGAUCAUUUUUCUAAUUCUGUGUCAGUAAAUAGGAUAUAUUAUGGACGACUGUACAAUUGAUAUGUAUAAUAAAGUGCUAGUUCUGCAACUGAUUUCUGUAUAACAUUCUGUAGAGAAAUGGUGCAUUCCGAUUUUGGGAGGCUGAGUGCUUCAAGAUUGAUCCAGCAAACAAAAAAGUCCACUGCAGAUCAGAUGUUGGGACGAACAUUAAUGGAAAUGGCGAAUUUGUUGUGGAUUAUGAUUACUUGAUUGUCAGUGUUGGGGCUAGACCUAAUACUUUCAACACCCCUGGUGUUACUGAGAAUUGCCAUUUCCUAAAGGUAAGUACUGUAAGGCCUAGUGAAGCAAUGAAGUACCUACUUGAAUUUACAAACAAAGGUUUUGCAUGCUCUUUAUUUACUUUUAUGUAGAUUCCAGAUUUUACCUUGGGUCCUACAACUUUGAUCAAGUUUUUAGAAAAAUACAUUAACAUCUACAAAGUUCAAAUAAAUGCACUAUCAAGAUAUGAUUUAUGGAGAAUUUUUAAUGGAACUAAUUUGAUGUUGUAGAUAUUGGUGCUUUUUUCUACAAACUUGGUCAAAGUUAGUGAAGUUUGAUUUAGAGCAAAGCUAAAUUUUAUUAAUUGGUUUACUUGUCGUGUUUAUCAAUUACCUGCUGUUUUAUGUGGUGAUCAUAACCUUUUUUUAAUAUAUUUUGUACAAUUGAGUGGCUUUUGAUAGUGUCACUAUUGUAGGAAGUAGAAGAUGCUCAAAAGAUCAGGAAGAGUGUCAUGAAAUGUUUUGAAAGAGCUGCCCUUCCAAACCUUUCUGAGGAAGAGCGAAAGAAGAACCUUCAUUUUGUUGUCAUUGGUGGUGGCCCAACAGGGGUUGAAUUUGCUGCAGAGUUGCACGACUUUGUGAAUGAAGACUUGGCAAAGCUGUAUCCUGAUGUAAAGAAGUAUGUAAACAUUUCAGUAAUUGAAGCAGGAGGUCAUAUCCUUACAAUGUAAGUUAGUUCGAUGCUUUUAACCCCUUUGAUGUUUACUUCACUCAUUCUAAUUAACCCACAGGUAUAUUGUGGAGACAACAAAUGAAAUGGUUAGACGUGUCUUUGCUCUUUUUUCUUUCUUUUGCAAUAAAGAACAAACAAGUGUUUCUGAAGAUUUGGUGUCUCAUAAUUGCUAUUUUUUAUGUGCCGUUUCAUAUGUUUAUGCAGUUAUAAUAUGAAAGGUUCAAGAAAAAUCUCCUGAAUCAGUUUAUAUGUUUAAUGCACCUGUUGUCUCCUGAUAUCUUAGAUCUGUUGCAAUCUUUUUAUAAUAUUUGAUGGUUUAUUUAGGUUUGACAAAAGAAUCACCCAAUUUGCUGAAGAGAAGUUCAAGAGGGAUGGCAUAGAUUUGAAAACAAAUUUUAAGGUCGUGAAGGUGUCUGAUAACGAUAUUACCAUGACCAAUACUGCUACAGGAGAGGUCACUGUUCCUUAUGGGAUGGCAGUUUGGUCAACUGGAAUUGGAACCCGUCCCAUAAUUAUGGAUUUCAUGAAGCAAGUUGGUCAGGUAUAGUAUAUCGUGUAUUCUUGUUCUCCUCCAUUCACGAGUGAAAAAUGUCCAUGUACACACCAAGUUCAAUAUCAACAUGACUUCUGCAGGGGAAUCGGCGUGUGCUAGCUACUGAUGAGUGGCUUAGGGUUCAAGGGUGUGAGGAUGUAUAUGCUCUUGGUGAUUGCGCAACAAUUGCUCAAAGAAAAGUUAUGGUACGUUGCUAUUGAAGUUUUAAAGCAUGUUAUACCAAUAAGCACACCAUGAGUAUGCUACCUAUUUAUCAAAACUCAUGGCCUCCUCUCUUUGUUGAUUUGUUGAAACUGACACCUGCAUCUAGCUUGUUCUUAAGAAUGGCAACUGUGUGUGUUGUCUUUACCUUUUUUUAUAAUCUCUCUAAUACCAAAAGUAUCUGCUGUCUUCACACAGAGAGGAACCAAUUAGAAAAUUGUUGUUGCUUUAGUGUUGAUUUCCUAGCUGCUGAUAUGUCUGUUUUGUGAACACAAAUACAAAUACAAAUACUUUGUAUCAAAUAAAUUUUGUAUUGUGUCAGCUAGCACAAUCUUCUUACAUGCAUGUUUAAAGGGAUGUAUUAAUGGAUUUUUCAGUAGUAUGCUGCUCCAAUGUUUUGCCUAGCAGAAAUCAAUUAUAUUACUUGCGGUCAUCUUUAUAUGACAUUUCAGGCUGCAAAAUAAAACUGCAAGCAGGUCAAAAUCGCUUUCUGAAAUAUCAUAUGAAGCUGACUGGGUGCUUACAUAUUUAUUGGGCCAUAUUAACUUUUUCAGGAAGAUGUUGCUGCCAUAUUCCGAGUAGCAGACAAGGAUAACUCUGGCACUUUAACUGUGAAGAAAAUAAAAGAUGUUCUUGGAGACAUCUAUGAGAGAUACCCGCAAGUGGAAUUGUAUCUUAAAUCCAACCAAAUGAAGGGCUUCCACGAUCUACUUAAAGACUCGGAUGGUAGCUCCAAGGAGUUGAAAGAACUGGAUAUCGAACAGUUCAAGAAGGCCCUGGCUCAAGUGGACUCUCAAGUCAAGAUGCUCCCAGCAACAGCUCAGGUAUUCACGUGUAGCUUUAGAGGCGAGCUGACUCAUCGAGUUCAGAGAGUGGAAAGAUCACUUCUGUAAUUUAUGUGCUAACCUCGCACUGCUUGUUGGUUCAGGUUGCCUUACAAGAGGGACGUUACCUAGCAGACUGCUUCAACAGAAUGAAGACGUGUGAAGAAUAUCCUGAGGGUCCUAUAAGGAUCAGAGGUACAGGGCGCCAUCGGUUCAAACCUUUCAGGUCCGUUUUCCAAACUUUUAUAUGCCUCCACAUGGAGGAAGUAAAGUAACUGAUCUAGAUUACUAAAUUCUGUCAAAAACAUACAUGUAACUUUGCUGUACUUGAUGGUUGAUAUGUGUAACUGGAUGUUACUUCCAUUUGCAUGGCUAUGAUUGUUCAUCCGGAACCUAGCAAUUACUAAUUUUUGUCUUGUGAUGUACAGGUACAGGCAUCUUGGGCAAUUCGCCCCACUGGGUGGAGAGCAAACUGCUUAUCAAUUGCCUGGUGACUGGGUACAUGUUGGACACAGCACCCAAUGGCUUUGGUAUUCUGUCUAUGCAAGGUAUGUUCUUGUUCCGGUCUCAGUAUGUGCUAUCUUAGAUAUCUAAUUGAAUGCUGGUUUUUAUUGUCGUUUGCUCUUGUUAAAUACAGCAAACAAUUCAGUUGGCGUACAAGGAUGCUGGUCGUAUCAGAUUGGGGGAAGCGGUUCAUCUUUGGAAGGGACUCAAGUAGCAUAUAGAUUCAAAUCUCCCGAUUUCGUAGUCCACCUACGUUCUAGAUGGAACAUACUGAGAGAUUCUUGCAUCAGUUUUGCUGCCCCAGUAUUUUGGAAGCUUAGCCUAGCAAGGUUUCUGAUACCAAAUUUUGACCUUGCCAAUUCUUUUGUUACCUCGUGAUGCACACUGAGCGAUUCAGAUGUUAUUCGUUUUGCCUUGGACAUAUGCAUUUGUUUUUGAUGUAGGGCAAUAGGGCAAUAUGUUAUCUGUUUUGAUUCUGUCAGUUUUGAGUUAUGUUGCCACUGGUGGUCAAGUAUAUAUUUUUGCUAGGUUUCUUAUCACCUUUAUAUUGGUGCCUAUAUGCCUGAUGAGAAUCUGCUGCAUUUCCCCCCUAGCGUGUAAACAUGUACUCAAUCCAUCCCAAAUUAUAAAACGUCUUAUAAUUUGGGAUGGAGUAACUGUUAUUAGGCUGCUGCACAUGCACCUUAAGAAAACCAGUCAACUAAACCAGUAGCAAUGCCGACUCAACCAGUAAGUCCGUACACAUGGAGCUAGAAUGCUCGAGUUCUUUCUGCCAUUCACUCACUUGCUAGCUGAAGACCCUCUAGAGAACCAUUCUGCUUCAACUCGCUGAACAGAAGCCCUUCCUCCUGUCGCGUCUCAGUCACAGCAGGUCGUCCUGGUUGGGCUUUGGCGACGUGAGCAGCGCGGUAUAGAGGCGGAGCUUCUCCUCGCCGAGCGACGAGCACCGCGACAGCGGCCGGCGCGGUCGGAUGAAGGACAGCGACGCGAGCGUCUUGCGGUGCUUGUACCGGCGCCACGCGAGCUGCACCGCCACGGCCGCCCACGUGCGCCACCCGGGCGAGUAGUAGCGCGCGCUGCGCCGCACCUUGUCGUUGGUGAAGGUGUACCGGAAGUGCUGCGUGACGUACUUGACGUCCGCGGCGUCCAGCCCGAAGGCCUCCGUGCUCUCCAGCGUCGUCAGCGUGGACGACGACGCCGGCAGCCGCUCCAGGAACGGCCGGCGCAGGCACCACGACAGCAGCUCGUCGCCGCUGAAGUUGCCCGGCCCCAGCAUGCAGCAGCUCUCGGCGCCGUUGCGGAGCACCUGGCUGCUCUGCAGGUGGCCGCGCACGAUGAACAGCAUCCUCUUCACUGGGUCCCCUUCUCUGACAAUCUGACGAGGCAUAAACAGAGAUCAAUAUAAUCUCGGAGGGUUUUUUUUUUCUUUUUUGGCCAAAAUUAAUUUGCAGACAGUAAAGGGAAACCAAGCCAGCCAUGUUGGUUGGUCGUUGCGCUUACAACUUCUCCUUUGGGGAAUAUGAGGGACUUGACCCUGUCGCAGAUGUUCUCGAGCACCAGGUCGUCCAUGUGUUGGAACAGUGGCACCUGCAUGCGGUUGUGCCGCUUGCCGCAUCAGUUACGCGACGGGCACGUGAUGCACCAGUACGUGCACGGCCAAAACUGACGAGACGUCACGCCCCGUCGUCGGUGUCGGUGCGUGCGUUUGCUACGUACCUGGCGCACGAGGCCGAGGCAGAGGUGGUACUUGAUGUCCCGGCGGAGCCCCUCCGGCAGGUCACGGACGAUGCGGCACUCGUCGACGCCGCGCGUGGCCGCCCACCGCUGCCGCUCGUACUGCCGCACCCGGUGCCGGUAGCUCCUGGGCAGGUUCUUGCGCUUCAUCCACAGCUCCACGCCCCGCAGCCGCGUGUGCAUCGCCUGCUUCUUGGACGUCGUCGCGUUCAGGAACACCUGUGCCGUUCGCGUCGCAUGCAUCGAGCAUCGUCAGCCAAAGACGAUCGUACAGCGAGACGACAUGCAUGCACCCCCUCAUCCCUAUUUUGAGUGACCGUGACCGCUUCGUUAUUUAUUAUUACCUUGAUGUUCCCUAUGAGCAUUGUCACGAGAAUGAGUCCGCCGGUGAUGGUGAUGAUGUUGAACACGAUCUCCAGCCACUCCGUCGUGCUCUCCAGAUUCCCAAAGGUGCUGAGCAGCACCAGCAGAAGCAGUGAAACAAAUUCACACAAUCAGUAGCCAGGCCAAGUUACUGAAACCAUGGAUCCAUAAUAUGCAUCGUCGAUCGGGCCAAUAACGAAGCGAUAGUCUGCGCGACCAGCAUUCUCACCUGAGAGUCAUUAGUCCCCAGAAGAUGGGGAGCAGAAUCCUCUCGACCCUGCUGGGGUUGGCCACCAGCAUGACCGUCCACUGGUAGGCCCCGUACUGGUAGUUGUCGGCGCUGUCGAGGCACGUGCCCCUGGCCGUGGCGUUGCCGGCCCAGGCGAGCCUGUCCGCCCCGACGGUCACGCCGCGCCCGUAGUAGAGCGGCUCCGCGCACGCCAGCGCCCACGGCGCGCACCCGCUCCCGCCGGCCUGGGCGCACUGCUCCCUCAGGCACUUGGUGGCCCGCUGCGCGCCGAGCAGGUACCAGCACGCGCCCACCGCCUGCAACCAAGAAUGGCAUGCCUAGCUGUCACAGAAUCAUGGCAUCGCAGGCGUCGUCUUUCGCCGAGAAGCCAUUAGUGGUAAGAUGCUCGUGCAUUCACGACAAAAUGCCUGGUCACGUUUGCCUUUGUUAGCCUUGGGAGGAUGCGGUGGUUGGGCAAGGAGUACGAUCGAUGCUAUUGACUUCCAUGCACCGACGAGCUAGACGAGUUCACCGAAAUGUGUAAGCCGUCGUCGUCGUCGUCGUCGUCGAGGAGCAAUAGUUUAGCUUCGACGGACACAUCAGCCAGUAUGCCGCAGGAGAAGACGAUGGUGAAACGAGAGAGGACGGACGGGACGACUCACGUGAGCGGCGACGAAGUAGGCCAUGAGGUUGAGGGCGAUCCCCCACCAGAUGGUGCCGAAGAGGUAGCCGGAGAAGUCCUGCAUCCGGCGCAGGACGCGGACGGAGUGGUAGAUCUUGGGCAGGUACUCGAGCAGGAACGCCACCAGCAGCACGGUCAUGACGGCGGUCGUCGACCCGGCGCGUAUCAUCGCCGGCGACGCCACCCAGACGACCACCUGCGAACGCACAAAAAUGGUCACGCGGACAUGCAUGCAUCACUGACAUGCAUGGUACUGGUAGUACCACUGAAAAGAUGAUGACGAGGCCGCCGGCGUCCACGGUCCACAGUUCCAAGUGGGGUGCGGUGCAGUGCAGUACAUAGAUCAUUUUGCCUCGUUGGAAAGAAGUUUAAAUCUGCAUUGAUUGAUGGAACGCAUUGUUGGUUGGUUCACAUCGAUUGAUGAACGGGCCCAAUCUGGCAUCGUCCAGCAUGCAUUGCAGGCUACUGAAUUGCGCAAGCACAAUGGUCCCAUGCAUGCAUCCUGCAACGCCACGCCGAUAAAACGAAACCGGCUUUCGUACGUGCGCAGAUCGCUGCUUGAAAUGACCCUCUAAAACCGCUGGAAAUAAUCGGCAUCCCAGGUCGCAGCACGUUACUGGAUGCAGAGCGCCAGAGCGGCAGUCGCCAGAAAGAUGGCGGAGGUGGGACGUGCCCAGUGCUCCGAGGAGCAGCGGAUCACAUGCAGCUAUUUGCUCGGCAUUCGGCAGCAUGUGAAAAGUCUGGCCUGUGGCUUCAUCUUAGGCAAUUCGGUUGGAAGGUUUCUGAGUAAUCCGUUAGUGAUCUUUGUUUCGUUCUUCAGAAUGUAAAAUGGGUUGAAUGCUCUUCGUUGCUGGUGUCCCCAGCAGGACGAUGUACACGGUAAAGUCUUGGAUCACAUGCAGCCCAUUUGCUCGGCGGAAUGUGAUGGGGAAAAUGCGAUGCCGCAUUCAGCAUGCUGCCACGGAAUGGAAGGUAGGAGUGUGGUUUAUGAGGGACUAAUGGACGUUGACAAUGUCGAAGGCUCCAAAAUUCUCCGUUGUUUCAGUGACCCUUUUUUAGACAAGGUUUCCAAUCUGUCAGUAUGGAGUAUGGAAUGGAACGUUGCUUACCGAGGAAAUUCAUACUAAAAUGGCGUGCUCCGGAAAGUUUAACUAUGAUGAGUACAGAGUAUUUGUUAUAGAAAUAAAUAUAUUUUCAAUCUUUCAGAUAGCACAAAAAAAAUCCGUUGCGUUCAUCAUGUGUCCACCAACAAAUUCUUCUCCUUUUCUAUCGUUUUUGCCCAAGAAGAGACAGAUGAAAGUACUAGCAUUUCAGUUUUCAAAGAAGACACGAGAACCAUGCACGGAUAGGGACCGACGGCGCACCUGCAUCACCGGUAGGAUGACCAGCACGUCCAAGAAAACCCCCUUCUUGGACCUCCCCCGUUGCGGCACGCCGCCGGCGCCGCGUGCGUCGUCGCGCCCCGGCUGCGCCCCCUCCUCGUCCGUGUCUUCCCGCCUCGGCGAUGAGCACGCUUCCCGGAGCUGCAGCAGCAGGUUGGCGGCGUGCAUGGCGUCCACGGCGCACCGGAGCGCGGUGACCGCGGCCGCGAACCAGCCGUCGAGGAAGACGCACAUGAGCGGCGCGCUGACGGACACGGCGUACAGGAAGAGCGGGUCGACCAGGAGCCCCGCCGCGCAGGCGAGCAGGUACGCGCGGUCCCACUCCGUCCCCCAGCUACUACUCGCGCGCGGGUGCCACGCCCCGCGCCGGCGCUUCCCCCGCGUCGUGGCCGCCGUCUGCGGAGGCAGCCUGCUGUCGUCUUGCUCGCCGGCUCUGAUGAUCCGCGGCGCGCCGUGAGGGGACGGGGACGGGGACGGCGACGGCGACGGCGACGACGACGAGGCCGCGGCCAGGCGCGGCGAGAGCUCGGCUGGCAUGGCCGAUCGAUGGCGUGGAUGAUGGAUGCUGCUACUGAGUGUGAGUAGUGACUAGUGACGACGACUACGCGUGGACAGCCGGCCAGGCCAGGUGGUGAGGCCGUGGCAUGUGGGUGGGGUGAUGGAGCAGAGUGGACGGCGUCCGCAGGACUCGACGCGUGAGGGGACGGAUAUAUAGCAAGCACUGGAAGCAGCUACGCCGGUAGCAAGAGCGCAGUACGUACCUGUGAAGUGUGAACCUCACCUCCUCGUCGUCGCGUUGUGCACGCGCGGCGCGGACGCACGUACGUACGUGCUUUUGGUGACGGAAUCCAACCUAACUGGCGUUUGUCGCCAUGCAUGCGUGCUCUACCGCGCGCGCCUGGUGAUGCUGAAGUUUUUUUUUUUUUUUUUUUUGCUUCUAUCUGUUCAUUAUUCGCGCAGAAUUGAUUGGCAGAUAAAGAGACACAGAAACGCUGCGAACCCGGCUGUGCAUCUCCACUCGGAAAGGAAGCAAAGCUGUUAGCCUCGGGAACUGGAACAGUUCACAAGUGAACAAGGUGGCCACAUCACCUGUCCGGCGUCCAUGGAAUGGAUGGUGGCAUCGCGUUCAGGUCCGGUCCCUGUUCUGCUUCUGCCCGGCCGCUGCUAUAUAAAUUUGGCGCCGAGCUAGCUUUUGGUACUGACUGUUUCUGCAGUUUCUGGAGUUUCCAUCGGAGGUUUUCUGCAGUUCGAGCCAAGGAUCAGGUUUUCGCUAGCUGCAUCCUGCCGGUUAUUAGUUGCUAAUAAGUGUGGGUGUGGGUGUGUGGCUCAGGUAUAUAUGAAGCUACUGCUAAUGAUGGAUGCCAAAUCAUCUUCAUGCAUGUUAACUACGUGAAGACGUGUCUACUUCAUAUGAGUAGGUACGAACUGCUCCGGCUAAAUUAUUGUCCACGUGUGAUGCGGGGGUAUAUGAUUUAUGUAUAUUUUUUUUGCUAUGCUUUUUAAUUAAUUAAUUCAUCAUGAGCUUAAUGAGAUUGAUAUUGAUAGGAUGUCUUCACUUCAGAGAACGGGAAACAACUCACAUGGAGUUAAGUGUGGCAAAUUCAGAUGGCUGCCGCAAGCAUGACUCUAUGUAGCCUGAGGCGACUGAAACAGGUUGAGAGCCAACGAUUUAUUGUAUUGAUCUCAUGUGUACUUAUAUUUAUUUAGAAAAAGAAUGUUUGGAGUGCUAACUACCGUCCUAGAUCGACCAGCGGGGGUGCAGGGUGUGCAAAGAGCCAGCAGGGCCAUCCAAGAAAAUUCAGGACCCUACGACGAAACUCUAAAAAGAGGCCUAAGCUUAAGUACUAAAAUAAAAUGAUAAUAAUAAAGAGCUUUGUUGUGGUACUCCUAAAUAACUAUAUGUAUACUUGUUUAUGUACUUAUUUUAUUAGAUCAGUAAAGUUUAUGGCUCAAUUAUUAACAUUGUUGAUAUUUUUCAUGUAUGUACAGUAAAAUAUAUUUUUAUAGUUGAGGCACACAAAAGGAAGGAUACGGCCAUGCGCGUGAAAAAUGACCAUCAUAAGAGUACCUUCAUAAGAGGGAUUUGAGAAUAUUUUGUACUUUUUCUAGAUUAAUUAACUAAUUAAUUUAAAAGGCUAAAAAAUGGUGACUCAGAUUUAUUUAAGGUAUUACUCCGUAUCUCCUAAUAAUAGUCAAAGGAGUACCAUAAUAUUGCCCAAUAAUAAAUAGUAUUUAGUUGAAAUCAUAGUUUUAAGUUAUAUUAGCUCAUACUGCACGAAUCUUUACAUUGACUUUCACUUUUUAAGAUAAUUGUUGAUACAACUUUGUUAUCCAUGCAUGUGCUAAAUUUAAACUGUAGUCCUUAUUAUAUAUUUUAUCCUACACCAUAACAUAAACAGUAGUUUAACCCUACAACAAAGACAAUCAAGAUGUUGAAGUUUCCAUAUCAAAGAAUUAUAUUUAUAGUACUAUUUUCUCUAAAACAUAGAGUUUCUAAAAAAUAAAUUGGCACCAUUUGAUUAUAUCAUAGCAUUUCAACCAAAACGUAUACCUAAAGUAAAUGUUUAUAGUUUUGUUGUCAUAAGUAUCAGUAAUAUACAAAAUGAAUUACUGGUGUCAUUGGUAUUUGGUUUGUUAAAGGAAUAUUUUUCAUGAUUAGUAAACUAUUAAAACAAAUGUUUAUCCUAAUAUUUAAGUUAACUUGGUUUAUAUAGUAGUGAACUGAGCGUGGCUCAACUGGUUGGGUUCCUUAUGGUGGAACCUUCCACCUGAGUUUAAGUUUCUAACUUGACAUGAGUACUCGUAUUUUCCUAAAUUUAUUACAAGAUUUAACGACAUUUUUCUUUUAGUGGUAGUCAAUGUGCCCUUACGGUGACUUCGUCAAUCUUGAGGUUUGCCGAUCCAAUUCAAGUCUUUGAAGGUGCUCAUAGGAGCAGGAUACGUGUGUAUGCAUUCAUAGGGGUGAGUGUGCGCUCAUGUAUGCGAGUGUCUGUGUUUGUAACUAAGUCUUAAAAAAACUUGGUUUAUAUAGUAUUAUAUAGUACUUAUGCUUAUUUUUAAUUUAACAGUGAUUGAAGUAUGUAAUUUAGAAACACAUAUAACACAAUUUAUAGAUAUUAGAUUAUUUUCUAUAAUAGUUUAUAUUGGUAUUUAAAUGUGAAUUUGGUGGAUAUUUUAGUUUAUUUAUAAUGACAAUUGUGUUUAAUUAAGAUAAAAUUUAAGAGGUAUAUUUUGAAAUGAUAAAUAUGGGUAUUUUAAUAACAAUUUUGGGGGUUAUUUUGUAUUAUCUUUUAUAAAUGGAGAGGUGUAUCAUUUAUAUAUAAAGUGAAGGAUUUAUUUGAAAUUAUGUUUCCUACUGACAAAGGUAGAUAAUUUAGAUACAAAUUUAGGUUUAUUUUAUUUUUUCAAAUGAAAAAGGUGGAUAUUUUUUAAGAUGAUAAUUCAAGUCUACCAAAUUAAAGUGAUAAUUUGUAAAAUUUAUCUUUUUUUGUGUUUUCCAUGAGGAUUAACAUAGAGGCUCUAUUAGAGGACUCUAAUUAUUAUAUUUAUUAUAUGACAAUUCAAUGAAAAAUAAUAAUAACAACCAAAUUUGAGAGGACAUAUUUUAGGUCCAUAAGCAUUCCAAUUUUAAUAAAGUGGACUAUGCAUCCUUCACAAAUAGAUAAUGUUAAUUUUCGUGACGGUUUAUGCAAUUUUCUGUGUGUUAUUACUAUACUGCCAAGAUAGUUAUCCUGAUGGUUUAUGCAAUAACCGUAAAAAAAUUUCAAAACCAUCAGGGAAAUUUCAAGUUUUUAGUUGUGAUAGUGAUAGAGCGUUGAACCCACUUUUGUACUUUGAUGAACACCUUUGCAUUUGAUGUAACCUUCACAGUUCAUAUACUAGCAUCAUGGAUAGCCAUAUAAUGCAAGAAAGAAAUGAAGAACACACAAUGGAACACACUGCUAUAGUUUUUUUAUUAGAGGUGGUCGUUUUUCGUUAAUGGAGACGGAUAGAGGCAACCCUCUAACAAUAGGUUACGGUUAAUCGUGACUUGAUGGAAGCAGUUGCGCCUGCCCACCUCCAUUAAAACCUCAACGGAGACAGGCGCCAUAGGGCAACCACCUUCGUUAAUAGGCCUUUAAUGGAGGAGGACACUAUACUAGGCCCGCCUUGGUUAACAAAUAAAAUAAAAAUAAAAUAAAUCUAGGUCCUAAAGCCAGCUAGCUUCAGCUUUUGGAGCCGUUGUCAUCCAGACCGUCCUUUCCAUGGUGCCAGCUUGUGUCGACGUCGCUAAGGCUGCUCGUGUGCCACCAUCGCCUGCCUGCUCGCCACGACAAUCAUUCUCGCUUGUGCCGGUUGUUCCACCCGCCACUGCCGUCGUCCGUGCGGCUCCAGCCAACACCAGAUUUGCAAAAGGGGAGAGGGAAGAGUGAGGGAGAUAAAGAGAGGAAGAUAGAGAGAGAUGGGGAGACUGUACCUGCCCCAUCGGUGACAAGACACUGUCCUUCACCGGAUCUGGCUAGCCUCCAUCGAAUCUGGCCGCGCGCCCUCCACCGCUUCCGGCCCGUCUCCUCCUCGCCACUGCCUUCGUUGCCACGUAGAGAGAGAGAGAGCAGUGAGGGAGCAUAUAUUAUAUAUAUGUAUAUAAAAGAGAGAGAGGGAGGCAUGAGAAAGAGAGAUAGGCCAAGCUUGUAAAUCGAGAGAGAGAUAGACUGUACGUCAUUGCCUUUUUAAGUUUAUAUUUCUUUUAUACCCAUGACAAGUGGACGUCGUAGACACAUGGCGAGCCACGAGUGGCCACCAGCCCUGCUUCUGGAUCAUUGACGUGGAGUAGCACAUGUCUUGGCGGAGCAUCCACGAAGACGGUUAUUUUAUAACGACUGCCUCUCUUAGUUCAUUAACAGAGGUGGUCGUUUUAAAAAGUCCGCCUCUAUCAAUAGAUUAAUAGAGGCAAUUGUUAUUAUAGAGUCGUCUCAGUUAAUCGAUAAUUAAUGGAGACGGUGGUUUUAAGGCAACCGCCUUCGUUAAAGUUUAACCGAGGUAGGCUUUUAGGAGGCGAGACAUGGCUCGGAACAACGGAGGCCGUCCGGAUGUGUGCUCGUCUCCAAUCAGAAAAGGGUAACACCAUAUAAAAAAAUAAUAAUUCUGUAGCAGUGACAUGAGACACACAAACUGACAAUCAUUUUCUUGCCACAUCUGUUACAGCGCCAUACUGGAACAGAGUGACGACAGAGGACUCCAUAACAGUACAGGAAAGUAUAAAUAUUCAGCGCGGACCUUAGUUAUAGGCAUAGCAGCUAAGGCUCGUAGACGAAAACACAUAUAGGAGUAUUAUAUGAGACCCCUCCCUUAUUCAGAGCACGAACAUCACACGAACAUAACGAAGACGUUGUACGCAGGGUGCCUUCAAACUCUAUCAAGCGUGAGCGGCAUCAAGGCAAACCCACUGGCCGAUGAAGACCUUCUGGCAGUUGAUGUUGGGGUUGAAGCUGAGGAACUGCUUCAGGGUCAGCCCGGCGGCCUGCGCCACGGCGAAGCAUGUCUCCCGCUCCUGCACCCCGUACACCUUGUUGCAGACCAGCGGCGACACCGGCGGGACUGCUGCGUCCGCCAGGGUGACCGCGACAAGGAGACACGCGAUCACAAGAGCGGCCGUGCCACGGUUCGCCAUUGCAAGUAUUGUGCACGUCAAGGAAUGAAGCUAGCUACCUAGCGAGAAUGAGCUAGUAUGUUUGAGCUUGAGGCUUUUGCUGGUUCGUGCCUUCUUAUAGCGUGGCGAGUGCAAAAGCCAACAGGCGAUUACAAUGUACGUGACAAAAUGACAUGUGAAUUCUUCUUCGACCUUGGAAAUGGAGUCAGUUCCAGCCAAAAUGGUGAUACUACUAACGAACAUGUCGCUGUUGCACAUUAGCAAGGAGGCCAUUAUCUUGCCUGAGGUGAAACAAGUCGAAGUUUCAUCUGGUUUAUUUGCUUGGACUCUUGUUCGGCUUCUUCCCAAGCAAAUAAACCAGAUGAACUCAGGGGAUACCAUUGAUGAACCACCUAAAGGCAUCCGUUCUUUUGUACGUCCGGGAUCAAGUGAAGAAUCAUUGGCCAGACAGAGGGUGAGUUUAUGGUUCCUAUGGAAGUAAUAAGAUUCAUAAUUUCCAUCUUUGGCUAUGUCGAAAUGGUAUCCUCUUUGUACAUAUUUUGGAUUCUUUUACAUAGAUCUAUUUCGUAUUCUUUGGCUAUGUCGAAAUGAUAUCCUCUUUGUACUUAGUCCCUCGUCCUGGAAUAGAGUACAUUCUGGCAUUUGAGAGGUCCCCCAAAUAUAGUGCAUUUGGGGAAAAAAUAACAUUUACUUUAAUAAAAAUACGAAAGAUGAAAGUAAUUGAGUGCUUACCAUAUUGUCUAUAACUAAACUUAGAUUGCACCAUUUAAUUACGUGGAAUAGGAUCAAAUUUCAAUAAAUUAUAAAGUUAAGUAAAGGGUACAUGCGUCUAUUGCUCUCACUUAUUUUGUCUAAAAAUAGCCACAACAGUAGGAAGUUAAGGGAUACAUGUGUCUAUUGCUCUUUCUUAUUUUGUCUAAAAAUAGCCAUAAUUAAUGUAAUAUAUUCCAGGACGGAGGAAGUAUUUUUGAUAAAAUUUGGACGAUUCUAUUGGCUGAGAUGACACCCAAGAUUGCGCCCUUUGGCUUGCAGGUUUUUUUUUCUUUGAAAAUAAACUGAUUACUAUAAAAUUGUUGCAUAAUUUCUGUAAAAUUUGUGUGGUCCAAAGGAGCUUAAAUAUGGUAACCUAGCGCUGAUGUGAUGUAAAGUAUUGGUUAACCCACCUUCUAGUCACAAAUAAUCGAUCUUUGGACAUUGAAAUGGUUUCCAAAACCUUGAGUAGAAGAUUUUGCUACAAAUUAUUAUUAAACUUGACAGACAAAUCUAUCGACGCCAUUUUAAUUAUCUGGACUCAAUACAUAAAAUGUAAUAUGCAAUCGAGGUUUAGAACAGCCACUACUGGACUCGCAUGGUUUGCGAAGGGCCUAAAACCUAGACAUCUUCAAAGCACCAUUUCUCUCGUUGCAGGUGUAUCGAUCGGGACGACUACAUCAGCAAAGUACCAAGUCUUUCACUGGUGCUUCCAGCUCCGCUGCAGGGUAUACAACUUUUAAACAUCCUCUUUCAUUCGUUGAUCAAAACCUUGCUGGUUAGCGUUGUUUGGAUGAUGAUCAUGCUUUGUUUGCAUAAUAAGUUGAUUAGUGACUUCAGAACUUGAUUAGUGGCUUCUUAUUAUGUCAUGAUGGCUAUAAACUAGUACUUGAAUCUAAUAAGUGUGUUGUGUCUAAAUAUGAAACCUUUAUUGGCAAGGGCUAUGAGAGCGGAGGCUUGUUCCCCUUGUCUUUGAUUGAUAUUUGUUUUAAGUCUGUAAACCAUGUGGUGAAUAAUGUUGAGACAAUCAUUUGACAUUCGAGGUUAUGUCAUGUUAAUUUUGGUUGCAUGUCCCGCUUAGCUAGUUUAAAUUUAAUCUCAAAAUUUGAUAUGCUCAAAAGUUCUAAGUGUCAUGCUUGUGUUGAAGCAAAACAAUCUUAUAAGCCUCACAAGGCUGCUGUGACGAGGGAGUUGGCACCGCUUGAGCUUGUUCAUUCUGCUAUAUGUGAGAUGAAUGGGAUAUUGAUCAAAGGUGGUAAGAGAUAUUUCAUUACCUUUUAUAGAUGAUUGCACUUAAUUUUGCUAUGUGUAUCUAAUGAAAACUAAAGAUGAGGCGUUGCACUAUUUUAAAAUCUAUAAAGCUGAGGUAGAGAAUCAACUUGAGAAGAAAGUCAAACGGCUACGGUCCAAUCGCGGGGGAGAGUAUUUCUCUAACGAAAUUUCUAUGUUCUACGUGGUAUAUGGAAUAAUUCAUAAGAGGACGCCACCAUACUCACCUCAAUCUAAUGGGAUUGCUAAGAGAAAAAACCGCACUCUAACUGAUUUAGUGAAUGCUAUGUUGGAGACUGCAGGUUUAUCUAAGGAAUGGUGGGGUGAGGCUAUUUUAACAGUCUAAAUAGACUGCUCACAAAGAACAAAGAAAUUACACCAUUUGAGGAAUGGGAGAAGAGAUUAAAUCUUUCUGACCUGCGGACUUGGGGAUGUUUGGAAAAAGUGAAUGUGCCAAUAAACAAAAAGCGAAAGCUUAGACCAAAAACUGUAGAUUGUGUUUUCCUUGGCUAUACUAUUCAUAGUGUGGGCUAUAGAUUUUUAGUAGUAAAUUCUAGUGUUCCUGAGAUGACUAUUGACACAAUCAUGGAAUCUAGAGAUGCAAUAUUUUUUGAAGAAGAAUUUCCCAUGAAAAAUUAUACACCUAGCAUAUCUCAUGACACUAUCUCUAUCCCUGAUUCUCAUGAACAGAUAGUACACUGGUGAUGAAACCCAUGAAGAAAUUCCUAAGGAGGACAAUAACAUAGUCACUCGAAAGAGUAAGAGACAAAGGGUUGUAAAAUCCUUUGGUGAGGACUUUAUUAUAUACCUCGUGGAUGACACUCCAACAACCAUGGUUGAAGCAUAUUUCUCUCUUGAUGUUGACUUGUGGAAGGAAGUGGUUCAAAGUGAGAUGGAUUCUAUCCUAUUAAAUGGGACUUGGGAAGUGGUUGAUCGUCCUUAUGGAUGUGAACCCGUGGGGUGCAAAUGUGUGUUCAAGAAGAAGCUAAGUCCUGAUGGUACUGUUGAGAAGUACAAGGCAAGGCUAGUGUCCAAAGGCUAUACACAAAAGGAAGAAGAAGAUUAUUUUGACACUUACUCACUAGUUGUUCCAUUGACGACCAUUUGAGUGCUUUUAUCCGUGGUUGCCUCACAUGGUCUUCUCGUUCAUUAGAUAGAUGUUAAGACAAGUUUCUUGAACGGAGAGCUUGAUGAAGAGAUCUAUAUGGAUUAGCCUGAUGGAUUUGUUGCAAAAGGUCAAGAUGGUAAGGUUUGUAAAUUGCUGAAAUCCUUGUAUGACCUGAAGCAAGCUCCAAAGCAAUAGCAUGAGAAAUUUGAUAAAACUUUAACAUCAGUUGGCUUUGCAGUGAAUGACGCUGAUAAAUGUGUAUAUUAUCGGUUUGGUGGAAGCAAUGGUGUCAUUUUGUGCUUGUAUGUGGAUGAUAUUCUAAUCUUUGGAAAUAAUAUUAAUGUGAUUCAAGAAGUGAAAUAUUUUCUAUCUAAUAACUUUGAAAUGAAAGACUUGGGUGAGGAUGAUGUCAUUCUUAACAUCAAGCUACUAAGAGAAGAAGGAAAUAGUGGGGUAACUCUUGUACAAUCUCACUAUGUGAAAAAUAUACUAAGUCGCUUUGGGUACAGUGACUGUGUACCUGCUCCAACUUCUUAUGCCCCAAGUGUGAUGGUGAGAAAGGAUUAGAGAAUUUCAAGAGAUCAACUGAGACACUCUCAAUUAAUUGGUUCUCUAAUGUACUUGGCUAGCGCCACGAGACCUGAUAUCUCAUUUGUUGUAAGCAAUUUAAGUCGGUUUGUGUCAAAUCCGGGAGAUACUCAUUGAAGUGAUCUUGAGAGAGUACUGUGCUACCUGAAAGGUACAAUGAGCUAUGACAUCCACUUUUCCAGGUAUCCAAGGUACUGGAGGGUUACUAGGAUGCUAAUUAGAUUUCGGAUGCUGAUGAGCCAUACGUCACAAGCGAAUACGUAUUCUUGCUUGGAGGUGGCAUUGUUUCUUGGAAGUCUUGCAAGCAGACUAUCUUAACAAAGUCUACAAUGAAAACAGAACUGACAACAUUAGAUACCACUGGCGCUAAGGCUGAGUGGCCAUGAACUCCUUAUAGAUUUAUCGGUUGUGGAAAAACCUAUACCGGCUAUUUUUAAUAACUGUGACAACCAAGCUGUGAUAACAAAGGUGAACAGUUCUAAGGAUAACAUGAAGUCUACAAGGCAUGUGAAACAUCAUCUAAAUACUGUUAGAAAACUGAGAAACUCUAGAGUAAUUGCAUUGGACUAUAUCCAUACAACUAAGAAUCUGGCAGAUCAGUUCACUAAGGGUCUAUCACACAAUGUGAGAAGGUGUGUCGAGGGAGUUGGGCUUGAGACCCACUUGAAAGUCACUUCAUAGUAGAAACCUGUCCUAUGUGAUCACUGAUCAGAGAUCCAUAAAUUAGGAUGGCGAAACAAGCAAGUGUACGACUGAGGGAGAAACUCCUUAGAAUAAAGUCCAGCUCAUUUGAGAUGCACCAUUUCUCCAAUAGUGUAAUGUAGGUCGAUUAAGUUCUUAAUAUGAUCUGAGUGGCUUGGCUAAGCAGGGAUGUUGUCCUAAAGAACAUCCUAAAAAGAACGCACCUAUAUGAGUUCGAUUGCUACUCACAAUCUAUGAGAUGAGGGUCAUCUCUAGAUACUCAUGAAAAGACUAAGAAGUGUGAAUUAUAUGAUUCAAACAGAGAGGAUGCUCUUUGCUGCCUAGUACUAGUUAAGGGCUCUAGUAAAACUGAUCUCACACAAAACUACCAAUUUAAGGUUUUAUCCAUUGUUUAGUUGUGGCUGAGUGUAGCUAUUGCUCUAGAUGGAUGUUCAACUUAAAAGUCUCCAUUGAAACUCUGGUAUAUAAAAAGAAUGUGGUACUGAGACUGAUUUGCAUCGAACCCUAGAGUCCGGUGGGGAUUGUUAGAUAUUAUAUGGGCUUGGCCCAUUAAAUAUUUAAUGAAUCAACUAAACUCUACGGUCUGAUUAAAUGCCUAUGAUUUUAACUGAAGGUUUACUCAACUUAAAUGUUUGAUCCUUGGUCGGUUAGCUUGAGAAGUUGAGAAAAGAAUAGAUGGGUGUCACACGCGCGCGGACGGAUGAGGCGAGGCAGGCAGGCUUCGACAAGCGAGUGGACAGGCAGCGAGCCUUUAUCACUUAGGUCCAUUGAUGGCUAGAGUUGCAACUAGUGGUAAUCAAUAGAGGAGUUUUUCCUGUACCGUCUGCAUCCGCUCGCUCUCCCUCUUCCUAGCGCCUAGGACUCAAUCCCUUUGUCUCCCUCCUUCUGGUACCUAUAAACCAAGAGACUCUCUCCUUCGGUUGAUCUCUCUCGGAAAAAAUCACAACCUAGCAGCUCCUGAGUCUCUCCAUUCCAUCUCCUACGCGCACUCGAGAUGGAAGAGUAGGCCUCUAGAAUGUCUCUGUCCAUCGGGUUCACCUGCUCGGUGAGGACGACAAUCACGUUUUUGGGGGCAGCGGCACGACUACUCGCUUCGUCCCCUCCCUGUUCCCGGCGCUUGCAGGGUCUUCCUCCCAGCGUCAGGGUUCACGGCUUCUUAUCGGCACUGCAUCGAUCGGAACGACUACAUCAGCAAAGCACCAUACCAUGUCUCUGCUGGUGCUCCGGCUCUGCCGUAGGGUAUACAACUUUUAAACAUCCUCUUGUUUUGUUGAUCAAAACAUCUUGGAUGAUGAUCAUACUUUGUUUGCACAAUAAGUUACAUGAUGCUACUCUGAUCAGUGUUGUAUCUAUAUUCAUGAUGUUUAAUCUAAACAAACACAUAUACGAUACCAUGAUUAUUUUGUGAAAAUCUUACUUCCAGAAUAAAUUAAACAUGAAUUUACCUAUAUUUCUAACAGAUUUCACAUUUCACCACGGUGACGACUGAUCAAUGAAGGCCGGGGAUACCAUUUGAGAAGAAUAAACCACCUAAAGGCACCCGUUCUUUUGUCGGGGAUCAAGUAAGUGAAUCCUUGGGCAGCCAGAGUAGAAUUUAUGAUUCCUAUGCAAGUAAUAAGAUUCAUAAUUUACAGCGUGUAGUUUUGACUGAACAACAUCUUUUACAUUAAUUACAUAGGUAUUCUAUUUCGGAUUCUUUGGCUCUGUCGAAAUGGUUGUACAUAUUUUUGAUACAGAUAAAAUUUGGACGAUUCUAUUGGCUGAGACGACACUGAAUGUUACUACAAAAGGUAGGAUACAAGGUGUAAAUAGUCAGAGUAUGCUAAUCAUUAUAAUGUGGUAACCUAGCGCUGAUGUGACGUAAAUGAAUUGUGUUAUUGUCUACCGUACCCUGGUCCCUGGGCCUGUUUGGAUUCGUGAGCCAGACAAAUCCUCAAGCAAUUUGCUUAGCUUGGGGUGGAUGCUGGCUGCCUGGCGUUAACCUCCAGGCCAGGGCACGAAGCAAAUACGCCCAAAGUGUUUUCGGCGUCAAAAUGGUUUCCAAAACACGAUUUUGAGUAUAAGUUUUUCCUUGUUUUGAAAAAUCCAAACUCAUUAAUACAUAAAAGGUAAUAUGCAACAAAAGUUUACAAUGGUUAACUUUUUUUAGACGAAAGAAGAGUACAUCAUCAUGUUACAAACAUUCUAGAAUACACUAUGUAUAUCUAGAAACUGAUCUUUAUUUAUAUUGUACCCACGCUUUGUGUAGGACAAAUAAUGUGCUAGAACUAGAACACAUAAGUUUUAAUUUUCUGAAGAGGUUGGCUGCAGGAACUGACAGCUGCCUUGGACGUCACAAAGCGCCCUCACGUGAUCUUUUCUAGGCGGAUGCGGAGCUAGAAAUAUGAAUUAUUUUCUAGGCGGGGUAGCAAUGAUCUUUUUCCAAAAAAGAAAUGAUGAAAUUUUAAAUCUUUUAGUGGAAAUUGUAUGGACUUUACGGGGUCUUGCCUCUUAUCUCCGCCACUAAGACCCGUCUCAGUGGGUUUUAUAGUUACAUUUGCAUUUAAUACAGUGGCGUAGUUAGGAUUUGUAGUUAUUUACUUUUUUUAACCACUAUAAAUUUAAUAUGUCGGUAGACAAGUAUAUACGAAAUGAAAUUAAUUAGGGAAAAAAGGUCGAGUUAAUGAAAUAUGUCGAUACAGCUUUCUUAACAUAGAAUUAAAAUAUUAUAUACCCAUAAUAGUUGAAGAAAAAAAAUGUCACUACUUCUUGUCAGGCUCGCGCCGUCUAAUAGCCAUGAAAGUGUUGAUGAUCUUAUCUUCACUCAAUUAUAAGAGGUUAUUUCGCCCAAUACAAAUGACUAGACAACCAUCCUGAAGGCUAUCACCCAUCUUAUUUUGAACUUAUUCUUGAUAAUAGCUAAUGCAUGAUGCAUUAGUCUCUAGCUCUAGGGAAAGAUUGAGAGAAAAAAUAGAAACAUGACUAAACGAACAUGCUAAUUGAAUAAAGAUGUUGAGAUGUACUACAGAGGGCUGUAUACAUGACUAAACGAACAUGUAAUUGAAUGAAGAUUUUAACACGUACUACAGAGGGUUGUAGUGCUUCUCGCCAUUCGGCGCCGCCGGCCCGAAGCCACCGCUUUGAGUAUUAUAUGAAUCACAACACAGCGAGGGAUACCAAGGGACACAGGCUAGCCACAAAUAUACCUGGGCAACGGGCCGGCCCGGCCCGGCCCGGCACGUUGCCUAAUGGGCCGAGGGGGCCCGUCGUGCCCUGCGGGCCGUGCCUUACCGGCCUGCGGGCCUGACCUCCGGCCCAGGCACGGGCCCGUGGGCCUUUUUGUGUACCGGGCGGGCCCGUCAGGCCGGGCCAGCCCAUAGCCCGUUGAACAAUAACAUAUCAAUAAACACAGAUUUAAAAGCAUAUUUCAAACACAUUCAUCAAUUCAUCACUCCAUCAGUAUAAAAAACACAUUCAAAUACAUAUGACAGAUGUAGAGAAUAGAUUUAGAUAUCAAAAUGAGUUAUUUUAUACAAUGUUGUUAUUUGACGGGCCGGGCCGUGCCGGCCCUCGGGCCUGAAGUGCGGCCCAAGCACGGCCUGCAGGCCCGUGCCGUGCCAGCCCGGGCCCAAUGACCUUCGGGCCGGGCCGGGCCAAAAUGACGGGCUUCGGGCCGUGCUCACGGGCUCGGGCUGCAUGCCCAUGUAUAGCCACAAAGAACUGUCACUCGCACGAUGCCUAACCUGAAAGGCCGUGAUUGGUCCAAAAUAUUUGCUACCGAUGAUCUGUAUUUUCCUAUACCGAGUCUUAGACGGGACGAGCACAUGGUGGUCCAUGGAACACCCAAACCACCAUCUCGCUCCGCCCAUGAUUUAAUAGGUUAAAAAAUAAGCAUUUUUAUGAUGCAAUCAUGUUAUUUAGAAGAGGGAGAAGAUGUGAGUUUUAUGAGAAUGAAAUUCUCUUCAACUCAUUUCCCACUCUAGAUGAAUCAUACAAUUAAAUGCUUAUGAAACAAAAAGUAAAACUAUGUUUCAUUGUACUCAACAUUUUGGAAAACAACCAAUGAGAGUCUAAGAUAGGGGUAUGUUAGACCCUCGGGUUAAGGGCAUGACAGUCCGACUAACCCCUCGACUGAUUCUCCUAAUCGGCUAGGGGCUUGUGGGCUACACCCAUCGGAUUUUCUCACACACACACACACUCUAGCAAACAGGGGAUGACUCAGUGGUCCGUAGAUGGCACUCUCUAGAGGGAAUCCCAGGUGUCAGAAGGGCAUGCCUUCGCUUGUGAGCUCGGACAAGGCAUAGAGAGUUCCCAACCUAGGAGAGCUCCAGCCGAACAAAACACCCAAUGCUCACCCUAACCUUAGCUUGGGUUGAACGUUCACCCAAGCAAUGCCAAAAACCAACCCUAGAAUCUAAGCUUGACAACCAUAGAAUCCACAUGGCGUUAUCGGCCAAUCCCUCGGCAGGAUCAUGCUCGGGACAUGACACAUUUGGACAAGGAACUUCCCCAAAACCACAUAGUGUGAGGCUUUAGGCCCGCUUGGUAGCUCUUUUGGGGAGAAGGGGAAUAAAGCUUGCUACGCCAAGGAAGCUAGGAGAAGGUUCACCCACGAAAGGCACCAUUGUAGCAGACAACACCUAGCGGUCAACACUAGGUUGUAGCAGUGGCGUUAGGAGGUGGUUGCGAUUUUGUCGGUCUCUAGCUACAAGGUACAGGAGGACAGGCGGUGCCACGAAAGAUGAAGACCAAAGCAUAGAGCAAGAAAUCCUAGGAGAAACCAUUCAACUUGUACUCACAUGGCCUCCAUGGCAAAUAAGAGAAGGCAUGGACUCUUGUAGAAGAGAUCGGAGACUAAGCCAUAGAUAGGGAUUGGAAGAUUGAACCAUAGAUGAUCAGUCAACCGAGCCCGAUCAAACCCUAGAUUAGCAUAACAUCGCUCACUACAACUAACUCUUGAUUUCUACGUUGUAAGAACUCUUAAAUGAGCAUUUCUAACAUGAACAAAACACCAAUGUUGGACGCAAAGGCUUAGAUGCCCGAACCAAGGUAAACCCCUUGUGUUUUUAGUGCUUAAGCCACUAGAGGUACACACAUCGACCCGCAUUGGAUAACACAAUCACUGCCACAGUGAUGAACCCACGAUAGUUGGUGCAUCGUGUAGGGGGCAGUGUCAUGUGUGAUAUGAUUGCCACCUGUUGCAGGGUCAAAACCGUGACAAGCAUUGUUGUUCAUCGGUGUCAUUGGGUGUGUGUCUGGUGGCUCAGGUAGACUCAAGAACACAAAGAUGACAAAGAGAACACAAUAUUUUAUCCUGGUUCGGGCUAUCGGGGACCUAUGUCCAGUAGUAGAUAAUCCUUAUACUCAAGAGCACCCAAAAUUAGGAGGUACAAUAGAGAGAGAGAGAGAGAGAGAGAGAGAUUUGGCAAGGGAUUGCUCGGUGCUGAUCGUAGAGCUUCAUUGCUAGUGAGGUCUUCCCCUUGUCAGAUAGGAGGAAGACGAUGGAAGAGGGGAGAAGCUCUAGGAUUCCUCUCAAGGUGGCUUUGCACUUGGUGCUGAGCACAAGCUAUUCGGUGAUGACCAGAAUGAUCUAUUUGGAAUCAUCCUCUCCCUCUCUAGGAUCUGACCUCCCCUUAUAAAUCAAGGUAGGUGAGUACAUGGCUGUUUGGGGUUGUUUAGCCUAUGGUCUAUGUGCGUUGGAGUCCAGGAGGGUCUUGUAGCAGCGUGAAUGGACCUUGGUGUUGUGGUGGAGCCAAAGAAGCCCUAGGCAUUGUCUGGCUCCUCUAUUUUGACACGCGGAGUGUCAGGAGCUAUCGGCUUGGAUCGGCCUCCACCAAGUGCACCUUCUAGAGGCUUCUUGGCAGUGAAGGCAACUAGGUGGAGGGGCUGAUAAGAGGGCCUAGAAGCUCCUGAGCCCCUAAAGCUAGUCGGAGGGGUUUUUGUACCCUUGUGUCACGUUGUGUGUGUGCCCCUGUUGCAGGAGUGGUUGACAACACUGCACCUGCUAGGUAGUGCCCUCGAGCCUUAGAGGCUCGGGGAGCCUAUCUGUAGCUCAGGCUUUGGCUAGCACCAAAUCCUAGGAAGGGGGCAAGGAUUGUACUCGAGCCCUUGUCGAUCAAGAGCCUAAGGCUCGAGCGUGCCCUCGAGCCCCGAGCAGAGGCGAUGGGCACCUGUCCCUAACCUUAUAUAUGUAUACUUACUUGGUCUAUGUGGUAGUGAAUAGAGUAAUAUUUGUGCUUACUUUUAAUUUAACAACGGCAAAAGCUAGCAAUUUAGAAGCAUAUAACAUACUUUAUGGCUAUUACACUUUUUUUUGCAAUAAAUCAUAUUUAUAUUUAAACAUGGAUUUGAUGAAUAUACUUGUUUAUUUAUAAUGAGGAAUUUAGAUAAUUUUAAAGGGGUAUCUUUUAUAAUGACCACUGUGCAUAAUCUAAAAAUAAAUUUAGAAAUUACUUUGCAUCGUCUUUGAUUUUAAUUUAUAUAUAAAUUUAGAUGAUCAUUUGAAAUUGUCUAUCAUAGCGAUCGAGGUAGGUAUUUACAUGCAAAAUUAGGGUUACUUUAUGUAUUUUUCAUAAUAUAACAUGAAAGGUGGAGUUUUUUUAGAAAACAGAUUAAAUUUAGUGGCUAUGAUUAGUGUUGAUGGUAAAAGUAUACUAAAUUAAAGGCCAGCUGUCUCCGAGAAUUUGUAGGAUGUUUUCUAGCACUUCUCUUGAUUAGUACUCCCUUCAUCCCAAAUUAUAAGUCAUUCCAAUAAUCUUGAAGAGUCAAAUCGUCUCAAGUUUAACUAAAUUUAUAUUAUCAUAAAUUUUUAUGAUAUUAACUAAGUAUCAUUAGAUUCUUUUCUAAUUAUAUGAAACCUAUUUCAUAUUAUAAAUCUUUGUAUUUUUUCUAUAACUUUGUUCAAACUAUAGAUACUUUGACUCUCCAACAUUUUUGGAAUAUUUAUAAUUUAGGAUGUAGUGAGUAACCUAUAGGCUCCCUUAUGGGCCUCUAAUUAGGGCACUUACAACAGCCAACUCUAAGAUAAUAUUAAAUAGAUGUCAUGUGGAGAAGAGAAAUUAAAAACAUUUGAGCUAGCGAGUAGAGAAGAGUUAAACUCUUUGCGCGUAACAUGAGAGACAUAACUCCUUUAUCCUUUUUUUACAGAGAAUAUAUAAAUAAAAAAUACUUUACAUGUGAAGCAUACUUCCUUUAUUCUAAAAUAAGUGUCCGUCUCAAUUUUCAAGAAUAUUUAUGAGAAAUUAUUGUAAUUAUGGCAUAUUUAUAGAUAACAUUAGAUUCUACUGAAUAUAUUUUCGUAAUGAAUUUAUUUAGAUAUACAAAUGUUACUAAUUUUUUUAUAAAUCUAGCCAAACUCAAGAAAUUUAACCAGCACAAAAACCAAAUGAUAUUUGGGGGGGUGGGGGGGGGGGGGGAGAGUACACCAUAAAUUUGACCUGAGCACUAUUGGAGGUACACAGAUACAUAGCUAGCAGGCGUAGAAUGUAGAACUCUGUUUUGUACUUCGAUGAGCACAGCACCUUUGCAUUUGAUGUAACCGUCACAGCCCAGAUAUGAGUACCAUGGAUAACCAUACAAUAUGCAAGAGAGAAACGAAGAACACGGAAUGGAACAUGAGACACAAUUGAACUGACGUUCAUUCUCUUGAGCUUGACACAUCGGUUACAGUUUCACACCGCAACAGAGUGAUGACAGAGGACUCGAGAACAGUAGAGGAAAGUAGAAAUAUUCUGCGCGGAGCCGCGUACCUUAGUGUUAGCAACUAAGGCUCGUAGAGGUAAACAUAGACAUGAGACCCCUCCUUAUUCAGAGCACGAACAUUCUUGCUUGGGAAAUACAGUAUAUAUAGAGCACGAACAUAACGAUCGACGUUGUACGCAGGGUGCCUUGCAUGCCUUCGAACUCUAUGAAACGAUAGUUGCAUCAAGACAAACCCACUGGCCGAUGAAGAGGUUCCGGCAGUUGAUGUUGGGGUUGAAGCCGAGGAACUGCGUCAGGGUCAGCCCGGCAGCCUGCGCCACGACGAAGCACGUCUCCUGCUCCUGCACCCCGUACACCUUGUUGCAGAACAGCUGCGACUGCGGCGGCAGCGGCGGGGCUGCUGCGUCCGCCAGGGUGACCGCGACAAGGACGCACGCGAUCACAAGAGCGGCGGUGCCACGGUUCGCCAUUGCAAGUUUUGUGCACGCCAAGGUGAGCUAGCAGAACUGACAGGUGUGUAUGUGUAAGCUUGAGGUCAGCUCUGCUGCUGUGGUGUGGCGAGGGACCGGC